Non-coding RNA from Delphinapterus leucas (beluga whale), 72 nucleotides. NCBI's taxonomy places the organism in Eukaryota, Metazoa, Chordata, Mammalia, Artiodactyla, Monodontidae. The record is from the annotation of a RefSeq genome assembly.
UCCCUGGUGGUCCAGUGGUUAGGACUCCAUGCUCUCACUGUGGGGGCCCUGGUUGGAUCCCUGGUCAGGGAA